RNAcentral lists this non-coding RNA (758 nucleotides) under Pseudoregma bambucicola. Lineage: Eukaryota; Metazoa; Arthropoda; Insecta; Hemiptera; Hormaphididae. The record is from RNAcentral.
AUAAUAAUUUAUUUUAUUAUUAAAUUUUAUUAAAUUAAAAAAAUAUAUGAAAUUUAAAAAUUGAUAUAUAAUUCUUAAAUAAAAUAAAUUAAUUCUCAGUAUUAAAUAUUAAAAAUUAAAGAAAUUUAGAUUUAAUUAUUAAUUUUAGUAUAAACUAAUUAUGUGCCAGCAGUUACGAUUAAACAUAAUAUACAAAUAAAAUUAUUUAGUUAUUAGUAAAAAAUAUAAAUUAUAUAAUAAUUUUUAUUUUAAGGUAAAAUUUAAUUUAAAAUUAAAAAUAUAAUUAUUUUAUUCUAUUAAAUUUUAUUUUAAACUAGGAUUAGAUACCCUAUUAUAAAAAUAUAAAAUAAUUACUAAAAAAUUAAUAGUUAUGUUCUUUAAAUUUAAAAAAUUUGCCCCUAUUUUAUUCUUAUUAGAGGAACCUGUUUUUUAAUUGAUAAUCCACAAUUAAUUUUACUUAUUUUCAAAAUUCAUAUAUCGCUGUCAUUAAGUAUAUUAAUAAAUUUAUUUUUUAUAAUUAAUUUUAUAAUUUAUGUUAAGUCAAGAUGUGGUUAAUAAAUAAGAAAAUAAUGGGUUACAUUAAAUUAUAUUUUUGAAUAAAAAAUGAAAAUUUUAUUGAAAUUGGAUUUAAAAGUAAUUUAAAUUAUUUAAUUUAUUUGAAUAUAGAUCUAAAAUAUGUACAUAUUGCCCGUCAUUCUUAUUAAAAAUAAGACAAGUCGUAACAAAGUAAAUGUACUGGAAAGUGUAUUUAGAAAGAU